Molecule: long non-coding RNA, 11161 nt
Filed under: Fragaria vesca (wild strawberry)
Lineage: Eukaryota; Viridiplantae; Streptophyta; Magnoliopsida; Rosales; Rosaceae
Description: long non-coding RNA (FVES_LNC001344)
Source: RNAcentral
UUUUUUGAGAUGGGCUUAAGAGAGGGUGGACCGGUUUAGGGGGGAGACCCAUUUCUUUUUUCUUCUCUCUUUCUCCCUUCCCUCUUUUCCCCGAGCUCUCCCGAGCCCUUCUCCGCCGGAUCGUCCAGCCGCCGUCUGCCGCCGUCCGGCCAGCCACCGACCGCCGCUCCACCCCAGUUCGGACCCCCAUCUCCUCCUCUCCCUCCCCGGCCUAGCCCCCGAGCCUCUAACCCGUCGGAAGAGGAGAAAACCCGCCGAAAACGCCAGGAAGCAUUUCGCCGGAACUCCCUCCUCCGGCCACCAAUCUGGGCAAGCUUGGUACGGUUUUGUAGCCCUCCAAUCCAGCAGCCUUGCCCUAAAAGGACUCACUCCCUCUUGAGCUAGGUAAGGAGAAAUUUGAGGUGGAAGUUUUAUGGCGUUUUUGAUGUUUUUAGUCGAUUACCCUAGUUAGGCUUGGAAUUGGUGUUUGUGCUAGUUAGGAAAGUUGUAGAGCAUGAUGAGAGGAUUAUUCUGUCAAAAUGUGAGGUUGUAUUUACGACUGUUGAGUAUGAUAUUUAAGUUCGGAUCGUUCCGAUUUAAGAAUAUCGAAGUUAGGCAAUGAUGAGCGUAUUUAUGGCUCUCGGGUAAUUUUGCCUAUUUUGAUUAAAUAUUGGAUUAUUGGUUGGGAAAUUAAUAUUAUAUUUGGAACAGGACGUGAGGAGGCUCGAGCAGACGAGGCCCCAGAUCGACAUCAGACUUAGGCCAAAUUUGUGAGUGGACGUUUAUUUUAAAUAAAUGCAUGUUAUAGUUCAUGGUUGAACAAUUAAUGUUGCGGAAUAUUUUAACGUCAUUUUAAUUUGACGAUUUUUAUUUCUCUUGCAGAGUUACCGAAAAUGGGAUUUUCGGUGGAUAUAAAUAUGUAUUUAUGAGAGAGUAUGUAUAUAAAAUGCUAGCUAGCCAUAUGUGUCUGUCCACCUUAAUGGCGUAGCAUAUAGCCGCAUUAUGGUGUGACGUGAGCGUUGGACGUGAGCGUAGUAGCCCUAUUUGAGUGUUUAAUUCAUAUAGGGGGUAUGGACACAUAUUUAUACACCCGUCUGUCCACCUUGAUGGCGUAGUGUAGCACCGCAUUAAGGCGUGACGUGAGCGUUGGACGCGAGCGUAGUAGCCCUAUAUAGACCCAUGAAUUUAUAUAGGGAGUAUGGACGAGUGUAAAUACAUACAUAUAUUAUAGAGUCUGAGAGGCUCGAUAUUUUAUGAGAUAAAAGUUUUAUCGCUUGCGGUAUGCAUUCGAUUUUUCCUUAGAAAUUAAUUUGGGAAAACAUAAAUAUUUUAUUUAUUAUUUUAUUUUUGUCCACUCACUCUAACGUUAUUAAAUGUUUUCCCCUGGGCCCUUCGUUUUAAAUUGCCCAGUCUGCAGAGUUCGGGUUGGAUCUAGUAGGAGGCGAGGCUCAGUAGGUUACAUGUUCAACCUACUCGUGUUUUCUUGCUUCCGCUAGUGUUUAGUAGCUCUGAAUACUUUGGGAUUAUUGUAUAUUAUGUGUAGAUUGUCUGAAGGAUAAUUAUGUGAUGUUUGGAAGUGUUGAAUUAAGAGUGUAAUAUGAAAUUUUCGAGUUAGGGUUGUCCAUCUGCAAGGGAGAUUUUCUUAAUCUUUUCAGUAAAUUUUCCUUGGAGGUGGUCCCCGCACGACUUACUCCGGGUUUCAGGGUGAAAUUCGGGGUGGGUCGUGUCAUGUAUGCAUCCAGUUCCAACGUGUAAGUCACUUCAUUAAAUUCAACCAUUCUCAAUUCAUCAUCAACUGCUGCAUAACAAUUAACAAAACCACACUUCACAAUCACAACUUUACAGAUUCAAUAAACAUAACCCUAAACCCUAUUCACAGAUUCAUAACUCUAUAAACCAACUCCAAGUUAAUAAACAUAAUGUUGUAAAACGAAAAUGAAAGAUUGAGAAAAGAGAGAAACAACCAAGAGAAUGAGGGAAUAUGUGUGUCUUUUAUUAAGUUGAGAACUUUCACUUGUAUAGAGAUGAAGUCAUAAUAUAAAUUACAAUAACAACCCUAGUCGGCUAAUUACAAAAAUGCCCACUAACUAAUAACUAUUUACAACACUCCUCAUUGGGUAUUUUUUGUCACUAGUUUCCUCUGAUACGUGCUCCAGUGUUGUCUCGUCAAAAACUUGCCCGGUAAUAAAAACCUUAUGAGACAAACAAUCUUGGUCGAAGGAGAAAAGAGUACAAUGCACACAUAGCGGUGGUAGUCAGAACCUUUGAUUUCGAUGAAGCGGCUUAGUUUGGAUCAUAAUAUGUGAGUCCGUGGGAGAUAGAUGCAUAAUAGUUGCUACACCAAAAUUUUGCCCGGUAAACCCAGUGGGACAAACCCAUGGUCGAGGGGAAAAGAUGAGCAAAUGCAUAUAUUUCAAAUAAAGGUAUCUUCAAGAUGCAGUAUGAGUAGGGUGACCAAUUACAUGUGUGGCUCAUUAAAACCUUGCCAUGUAACAAAACCCAGUGGGACAAAAUAACACUAGACGAAAGACAAAAGAGUACACAAUGGUCAAUAGUAUGCUUCAGAAUACUCCCCCUGAUAUUGACUCCCCCAGAAAAUUACAAACUAGGUAAAACUAAUACUUUAAUCAUACUUCUCGAAUCACUUAACAGUCAGCAUGAUUUAAAGAGAUUUUUGUUUCAUAUAUCUCUAAGAUUAUUGUAUUCUCUAUAGUAAAGACAUAACUAGUUGGGAAUAAGCCUUGUGUGGGUUUACAUAACCCGUGUCAGCAUAUCUAACAACAUAAACAUCAUUCUGAGGAUCAUAGGCGGUUGAUCUAUUCUAUGAUGUCUAGGGAUAGAUAAAGCCAUUUUUUCGUCAUACAUUUAAAGUAGCGAAAAUUGUCUUUUAUGCCAUUUACGGAGGCAACUUGUUGGUGCAGAGCUAUAUCAAGCUAACAAAUACACAUUGGAUGAGAUGUACGGUCUAGGGCAUUUAACCAAGUACAAUAAUGCACCUAUUGUACUUAGAUAUGAGUAUUCUUGCCUCAAUAUCUCUUCAUUAUCAUCUGCAUAAUGAUACAUGUUUCACUAGACUUCAAACAGUUAUGAGUAUGCUUGAAGAUUUUGUUUUAUCCUCAUUAAAGCGUCUUAACAUCCUCUAAAUAUAAUAUGAUUGAUGGACCAAAAUUCCAAUUACACUUUGCACGACUCCAGGUUGAGAAAAUGAUUUGGCCUGGUCUCCGAAAGCCUUUUAUCUCAAACUCUGACUUCAGGUGUUUUGUGGUUUUCUAGAUCUCUUCAAGAAUAUCAAUCAAAUUCAUGCUAUUGACGUAGAUCACCAAAAAUUGCAAACCCGAAAUUUGUUUUCUUAAUAAACACGCAUGGGCAUAGUCCAUAGUUCAUAUAUCUCAUCCCAAUCAAAUAUUCACUUAGACGGUUAUACCAACUCUAUCUAGAUUGUUUUAACCCCUAAAGUGAACUACUCUAGCAAAUGAAGAGCAUGUUCUGUGGUCUAGAACUAUUUGUAUUGGGUAACAGAAGUCCUUCAGAAACUUUCAUGUAUAUCUCUAUAUUCAGUUAUUCGAAAACUACCAAACUAAUAAGGACGGUAGUUGAGAGUUAUGACGUCCAUUACGGGAAAGUACAUCUCCACGUAAUCAAUCACAGGACGUUGAGAAAAUCCUUGCACCACUAAACGAGACUUAUAUCACAAUCUCGUUUUUCUUAUUACGCUUCCUUACAAAUACCCAUUUAAACUAUACAUGUUUAACAUGGGGAGGUGUGGGAACAAUAGGCCCAUAACACCUCUCCCUUAGUGUAAGGAAUCUGAUUUGACCUGGAUUGUUUAUUUUCUUUUAACCAGUCAUCUCUUCGUUGAAUUCCAUCAACAAAGCAAGGUUCGACAUCAUCGCUUAUUAUCAUUUCGGUGGCCACCACAAAUAUAAAUAUAUCAUCGAUGAAAUCUCAUUCCGAUUCAAUAUCUCACUAAAUUUACCGAGAUUUUCUAUUCUCGGGAGUGGGUUUAAAUGUUGGAGCGUCCCCCAACUUCGUCUCUUCUAGGACGAACACAUAAUCCGGAUUUAUCUCGUGAGUUGAAUUGUUUUGAGAUUGCGAUGGCAAGAAGAUUCAUUUGUGUCAAUCCUCUUCUAGGGAUAAAAAUCAUUCGAACAUAAUGGUCUACCUUGCUUCUGGAUAGGGACUAUGACUGGUUAGCCGCCAUGGCCAUACCUCAUCCAACUGGAAUGACAUGUCCUACGGGGACCUUUAGGCACAUUUGCAGCAGGUAUAUGUGAUCUCAUCACUUUAUAUAGAUCAAAUGAAGCGUCUAGCAUAUUUUUGGGCUACACUAUGUAGAUCUAGAAUUCUUUGCACUUCAAUAUCAUUUGUGCGGUUUGGGGAUGAGGAUGAGACAUAGUGGAUAUUUUCCACGUCAAUUCACGUUGUUCAUCAGGAUCAAUGACGUUCUUAGUUCCCCCUAACGGCGGGAAGACUGUCUCAUCAUCUCAUCAAAGUGACAAUCUGCAAAUCUAUCAGUAUAGAGAUCGUCUGUCAAGGGAUCUAAGGAGCACAUAAUGGAUAUGAUUCAUAAUCGACAUAUCUGCCCAUCCUUUGUUGAGGACCCGAUUUUGUACGUUGUGGUGGCACAAUUGGCACGGGGACUGCAAACCCAAAUGCGUGUAAGUGCAACAUCAAAUUCGCACCCAGUCACCAACUGUAACACGAAGUAAGACGAGUAGCAGUGGGCUUGAACCAGACCAACAUGGCUGCAUGCAAGAUUGCAUAACCCGACGCAAACUGUAGAAGCUUGGUACGCAUUACCAAGAUUCUAUUUGCGAGACCAUCUUGGGUGUGAACAUAGGAAACUAUAUGUUCAACAAAUCACAAGGGAUAUGCAAUAAUCAUCGGAAGUCUUCGUUGUAAACUCUUCGGCCUUAUCAAGUCUUUUGGACUUUAUAAGAUAUACCAAGUGGUGUACCCUAAAUUUCAUGGGUGAGAGUUUAGCAAACACAACAUUUUCUUAUGGACAGUAAAGUGAUAUCUGAUCAUUUUUGUCGAUGCAUCAACCGCUACCUUUAAUAUUUAAUUGGUAUGUUAGGUAGUUGGACAUGUCCACCAACGUUGCAUUCUAUGUAGGAGUAGAUAGUAUAUACUAGUCUUUGCAUAUGAUGGUCUAGUAUUCAACAUUCUUAACGAGCAGCUUGACAUAAUGUGUCAUUAAAGACAAGGCCCUUAUUCUGAGGGGGAUGCUCGUGUGAUAAUUGAGUUGAGGAUACGGUGGCAUCAUAUGUUUUUCCCGAGUGCAUCAAACACCAAUACUAUAUCUAGUAUUUGCUCGAAUCAUUUAGCUUCUAGCUAAUAAAUUUUAAUAUCUUCAAUGUACGCUUCUAGACACACAUUCGAAGGUUAUGCAAAGAUAUUACACCAUUAUUCUGGUGGUUUCAACGUUUUAAGCAUUUCUUUCAAUGAACAUACCUUUCGAUAACGUUCUUCUGAAACGUAGAGUUAUUUUGCCUCGUCAGCCGGAAGAGAACGCUCAGUUCCUUAAUAUUGAUAACACAUAUCAAUUUAGAUGUAGAUUCUAGGGCAACAAGCAUUUUCAUUUCAAUAUUUUCUAAUUAUGUUCAAGCAAGGAAAAUGUCUACUUAAAAUUGUUUCUUCUGGAGACUACCAAUUAACAUGAUAAAAACUACCGAUUUUAUCAUGUAUGGUGAAUUUUGGAAUGAAACUUCAAGUUUCUUAAGAGAGUUAUUAUCGAAACUACAAGUUCGAUUUAUACAUGAACUACUGGUUCAUUUCUGAACUACUGUAUAUGUAUUGUCAACACAUAGAUUGGAAUCAAUUGAUGAUAUUAAUUUCAUGCUACUAAUUUAGCAUAAUAAAUAUUACACAAUUAUUGUGAAAAUGCUUCUGCAAUUAACUACACAUAUUUAAUAUGGUGAUUAUAUUUACAAUAGCCAUUAUGCCAAAGUGUUUAGAUUGGCUUUUUGACAUACACAUUGACUAGAUCAUUUUUCCUUUAGGGAACUUCAAGUUCCUUAUAUGACACCAUCGAAAUUACAGGUUCGAUAUACAUGAAAAAUUACUACUCAACCCUUUCGGUAGCUCCAAAUGAAAACGACUAGGUAAGAGGGCCUGAGGUGGUGGAGCGAGGCUCUCUUAAGCACACACCUCAGGUGAUUUUCCUAGACUUCGCAUUCAAGUGGGUGAGCCUAUUUGAGAAGAUUCAUAACCUUUCAUUCUUUCAGUGUUUAUCGAAACUACAAAUUCGAUAUAUAAUUGUGUAUAUAUAUAUAUGUGAGUCAGAAUAGUUAUUAUCAUUGUCAUGGAUUCAUGGCGACACAUGACGAGCUUCUGUGCUAGCCUUGCAGCUUGGGUUGAGCUUUUGACUCGGUUUGCUCAAGGAUUAAAAUCUCUGUGAUAUAUUUGAUAUAUCCCCCGAUAUCUCCUUUUCUGGAGUGACGAUAUAUCUAGAGGGGUAAAUAUCUUAUCUUCCACCAAUUCCGUCAAAUACUCCGAUUCUGUCAAAUUUCUCUGAUUCUGUUAAAUAUCUCCAAUAUUUAAGAAAUUUACAAUAAAUCUCCGAUAUAUUGAAGAAGUGUAUGUAAAAAACUUGGGCGUAAAGAGGAAUCACCUUCCACAAUAUUUGAAAAGAGAUAUAAGAUGAACAGUUAACUGCUCCAAAGAGAUAGACGACUAUCAUAUUCAAUAGUACAAUUCAUAUGGUUAUAUGUUUUGGUCUGAAUACUGUACUUUUGUGCACCACCGUUCGUCUUUUCAACCACUUGAAGUCUCUUUCUAGAUGUAGAUAAGUUGAUGUUUGUACAAUUUAUAUGUAAAUCUAAUAAAUUAAAUAUUUUAGAAAAAAAUUCUUCUCGAAUUUCCGAUAUUUUUUCCCUAAUAUCUCCGAUAUAUCCCUGAUAUAUUUGAUAUCUCCUUUUUUAAAAUACCGAUAGAUAUGCCAAUGAGUGCGGCUAUUGGGACUUCCAAAUUUGCUCAUUAGACCUCACUCUAUUUUGAAUUAUUAAAUGACAUAUAUAUCCUCAUACACACUGAAUAUUAAAGACAAUAAUUAUACAAAAGGAAAUAUUGUAUUUAUUCUCUUUAGACUUUCCAAUUCAAUAAUAAUUGAUUCCAUUCUUUAUUAUUUUCCUUAUAUAUUUUUGUUUUCCAAUUUCUUUUUAUUAAAGCAUAUAUAUAGUUUAUAAGAGCUAAAAAAAUAAUAAAUAUCGAUCAUGUGACAUACAAUUUUGUAUUAUCAUAGAUAUUGAAUGCAUAUACUUGCAAGAUGCAUAAAUAUUUUUGUAAAAAAAAUAAUAAUAAUAUCUAUCGAUUAUAGAAAAUAUAUAUUUAUUGAAAUAAUUUAUUAUGAGGUACAAAAUAGAGAUCAAAUUAUAAAAAAAAAUAGAGAAAAAAUAACACGUAUAAAAGAGAAAAACAAUUAAAAAGAUAUAUAGAGUAGUUCAUAAAACAUUUUUUUGCAUGAAAAAAAUAAUCAAAAAAAUGAAGGUAGCUAGGGAUAAUAGAUGUUGACAAACAAAAGAGAAAUUUUAUUCACACAUUGUUAAAUAUUUAAUACACAUUUCAUAUUUAUAUACACCGCUUAAUAACUUUUCUAUACAAUCAUUUUACUAGAAACACACCUCUAAACAUCCUAAACUACCCCCGUUCAACUAUCUUCUAUAUCAAACUGGAAUACUGUCAGGACCCACCCCGAAUUUCACCCUGAAAUCCGGAGUAAACCCUGCGGGGACCAUCUUCAAAGGAGAUGUUACUGAAAAUUCGGCAUAACCUCCCUUGAAAAUUGAUAACCCUUUCUAAAAGCACCUGCAAAUACUUCUAAAAUUCAAAUCCAACCUUAUACUCCUGGAGCCUUCGUGCUCCCCAAAAUUCACAACACCUCCCAAUUUAUUUACUAAUUUAAAAAUAAUUCCACAACCAACAUUCAUAGGUUAGAGCAACUCUAAUAGUGAAGGAAGAAAAUGAAAAUUAUACAAAUAAGCGGAAGCUAUAUUAUGGACUAUGCCUCGACUCCAUGUACGCCCUACCUCAACUAUGCUAACCUGCAAACUGGGCAUUUAAAACCGAAGGGCCUAUAGGAGAAUCAAUUUGAAAACUUUAGAGUGAAUUGUCACAUCCCGACCCUUAUAUUUUUACCUUAUUUACUAGCGUGAUUAUAAUAAGAAUUUUACCGUUCCCGUCAUUGAGGUAAUAGUUUAAUUGGUCCCUAGAGGUAUUUUUAAGGGACGAUUAAUUUCGGGGAAUUAUUCGUGGGAGAAAAUAUGACGACGGUAAAAAUAGUAAAUCUUAGCUAGUAAAAGGUAAUUUUUAUUCGGGUAUUAUUUUUCGGGGUGUUUUAUUUUUGGAAUUGGGUUGUUAUAAGCUUGGACCGGUUUGGGGUGUGAGGCCCAAAUCCAUUUUCUCUUUUUCUUCUCUUUUCUCCUCCUGGUUCCCUCUCUCUCCCGAGCCCCUCCCGCUGUCCGGUUUUCCGGCCGUCCUCCUGCCGCCGUCCGGCCACCACCGGCCGCCGCUCCACCCCAGUUCGGACCCCCAUCUCCUCCUCUCCCUCCCCGGCCUAGCCCCCGAGCCGUUAGCCCGCCGGAAGAAGAGAAAACUCGUCGGAGACGCCGGGAAGCUUUUCGCCGGAACUCCCUCCUCCGGCCACCAAUCCGGGCAAGCUUGGUACGGUUUUGUAGCCCUCCAACCCAGCAGCCUUUCCCUAAAAGGACUCACCCUCUCUUGAGCUAGGUAAGGAGAAAUGUGGAGUUGAAAUUUCUAGGGCUUUUAGGAUGUUUUUAGUCGAUUACCCGUGUUAGGCUUGGAAUUGGUGUUUGUGCUAGUUAGGAAAGUUGUAGAGCAUGAUGAGAGGAUUAUUCUGUCAAAAUUUCAUAGGUUUUGGAGGUCGCCGGAAUUGGCCUCCGGCCGCCGCUGCCGGCGGAGCCGCCGCCGGCGCCGCCGCGGUUUGGGAGAUUUUUAGGGUUUUAAAUGUGGAAUAUUAAGGGGAUUAUAUUGAUGUGAUUUAUGGAAUUUUUGGAUGAGAUUUGGAUAGGUUUGUGAAUUUCCGAAGUUUGGUAUUUUUGGCGGUUAAUUAAUGUAGAAUCCGACUGUAAGAUUUAAGUCGUAUUUUUGGGGAGGUUAUAUUUACGACUGUCGAGGAUGAUAUUUAAGUUCGGAUCGUUCCGAUUUAAGAAUAUCGAAGUUAGGCAAUGAUGAGCGUAUUUAUGGCUCUCGGGUAAUUUUGCUUAUUUUGAUUAAAUAUUGGAUUAUUGUUAGUUGAGAAAUUAAUAUUAUAUUCGAAACAGGACGUGAGGAGGCUCGAGCAGACGAGGCCCCAGAUCGACAUCAGGUUUAGGCCUAAUUUGUGAGUGGACUUUUGUUUUAAAUAAAAUGUAUGCUAGAGUUCAUGGUUGAACAAUAAUUAUUGCGGAAUAUUUUGACGUCAUUUUAAUUUGACGAAUUUUAUUUCUCUUGGCGAGUUACCGAAAAUGGGAUUUUCGGUGGAUAUAAAUAUGUAUUUAUGAGAGAGUAUGUAUAUAAAAUGCUAGCUAGCCAUAUGUGUCUGUCCACCUUAAUGGCUUAGCAUAUAGCCGCAUUAUGGUGUGACGUGAGCGUUGGACGUGAGCGUAGUAGUCCUAUUUGAGUGUUUAAUUCAUAUAGGGGGUAUGGACACAUAUUUAUACACCCGUCUGUCCACCUUAAUAGCGUAGUGUAGCACCGCAUUAAGGCGUGACGCGAGCGUUGGACGCGAGCGUAGUAGCCCUAUAUAGACCCAUGAAUUUAUAUAGGGAGUAUGGACGAGUGUAAAUACAUACAUAUAUUUUAGAGUCUGAGAGGCUCGAUAUUUUAUGAGAUCAAGGUUUUAUCGCUUGCGGCAUGCAUUCGAUUUUUUCCUUAGAAAUUAAUUUGGGGAAACAUAAAUAUUUUAUUUAUUAUGUUUAAAAUUUCUGAAGGAUAAUUAUGUGAUGUUUGGACGUGUUGUAUUAAGAGUGUAAUUUGGAAUUUUCGAGUUAGGGUUGUCCAUUUUCAAGGGAGAUUUUAGAAAUCUUCUCAAUAAAUUUUCCUUGGAGGUGGUCCCCGCUCGACUUACUCCGGGUUUCAGGGUGAAAUUCGGGGUGGGUCGUGUCAGAGUGAACAAAAAUAAAGGUUAAAAGGAACAUAUAAUUACUAAGAUUUUAUGCUUUCCCAAAUUAAUCUUUUCAGAAAAACUGCGAUGCAUGCAAUAAGUAGUAAACUUCUUAACUCAGAAAUAGACAAUUACUGAAAAACGCGACUAGCCCCGCUACUAGUCUCCAAUACCAUAUGAUAUUGAGCCUCCGAGGCUGUAGUUUAUAAGUAUGUAGGAAUUCAUAUAGGGCUACGACGCUUCAUAUAUGAUUCAUAUAGGGCUACGACGCUUGCGUCCCACGCUCACGUCACAUCAUAAUGGUGGUGGUUAUUUGCUACACCAUUAUGGCUGACAGACGGGUGUAUAUACGUGCCCAUACCCCCUAUAUGAAUUCUUAUAUAUAUUCAUAUAGGGCUACGAUGCUUGCUUCCCACGCUCACGUCACACCAUAAUGGUGGCUAAUCGCUACACCAUUAUGGUGGACAGACACGUAUGACUAGCUAGCAUUUAUAUACAUACAUUUUAUAAAUAUAAAUAUAUAUCUCCACCGAAAAUCCCAUUUUCGGUAACUCUCCAAAAUAAAGAGAAAUUGCCAAAUAUAAAAGAAAAUAAUAUGUAUACGACUCCACCGAAAAUCUCAUUUUUUCGGUAACUUUCCAAAUAGCGAAGUUAAUACUUAAAAUAAGAAUAUUUACUUCCGAAAAUAACUUCGCGGAAAUAACUCAUGCAAGAAAAUCAAUUCCACAUAUUAAAAUUCAGUAAAAUAAUAUCAUCCAUUUAAUAUAAAAUCACUGAAUGCAUUAAAUUUAAAAAAAAUAAAAGUCCACUCAUAGUGAUUCGGUUAUGUUAGUUGCCAAUUCGAGGCUUCUCUAAGUCCACCACCCGACCAUUUCCUGAGAUGAUUCACUUUCUACUUAAUUAACACCUCAUUCUCAUUCUAAGUAUGUAUGAAUGAGACCUUAACAGGAAACUAAAUCAUAAAACCUCAUAAAGCCUUGCACAAAUCCCAUAAUUGUCAAAUUACAUUUAACUCAACUUAAAUUGUAACUCAUCCCGAGCACUCAUUGAACUUGGACCUCAAUCGAAUUUGGAGAUCCC